GCCCGAGGAGCUCAGUCGGUAGAGCGUUAGGCUUUUAACCUAACGGUCCAGGGUUUCAGCCCCUGCUCGGGCG
This 73-nucleotide transfer RNA is filed under the name Dermacentor andersoni. Its description in RNAcentral is "transfer RNA lysine (anticodon UUU)". It matches the Rfam family "tRNA". Rfam says of the family: Transfer RNA (tRNA) molecules are approximately 80 nucleotides in length. Lineage: Eukaryota; Metazoa; Arthropoda; Arachnida; Ixodida; Ixodidae. The record is from RNAcentral.